This is a non-coding RNA of Nicotiana tabacum (common tobacco), 2378 nucleotides long. The record is from RefSeq and is a predicted model, not a curated record. Lineage: Eukaryota; Viridiplantae; Streptophyta; Magnoliopsida; Solanales; Solanaceae.
GGAAAAAGAAAGCAACAUAGGUGCGGACCGUUACUAAAAUAGAUGAUAUUCUCAUUUUCAGCAAUGGCAAUAAUAGAUCCAUCGGGUUGAUCAUAAAACAAAUAAGAAGAUAUGAGCAAAGCUCUGGACAACAAGUCAAUAACAACAAGAGUUACUUUCUCACUGCCCCAAAGACUGCAGCUACAAGAAUCAAUAGAAUGAGGGCGUAUACCAAAUUCAUGGAGAAGGAAUUCCCAUUCACAUACCUGGGAUGUCCAGUAUAUGUAGGAAGAAAAAAGAUUGGAUAUUUUGACAAUAUGGUAAGCAAGGUGAUGCAAAGGCUAAAUGGUUGGAAAGGUAGAAUGUUGUCACAUGGAGGAAGGAUAGUGCUCAUAAAAAAUGUUUUGCAAGCACUACCUACAUACAACCUUAGUGCAUUAGUACCUCCCAAAGGAACCUUGAACUUACUGGAAAAAUAUUUUGCAAACUUCUUUUGGGGUUCUAAUGGUGACACCAACAAAUAUCACUGAAGUUCGUGGAGAAAGUUAUGUUAUCCAACUGAAGAAGGAGGAAUAGGAAUAAGAAGAAUGGAAGAAAUUAGUGAUACCCUUGCAAUUAAGAGAUGGUGGAGAUUUAGAUCGAAGUCAUCCCUCUUAGCUACUUUUCUGAAAAAUAAGUAUUGUGUAAGAGCUCACCCUGCAACUAAGCAAUGGGCUUUUGGAGAUUCCCACCUGUGGAAAAAGCAUGACUCAAGCUACAAAAAAAAGCUGAAGACCAAAUAAUUUGGCAUGUUAAUUCAGGAAGUUGUAGUUUUUGGUGGGAUAACUGGACAGGGAAGGGUCCACUAGCUGUUGAAGUUUCUAAUGCGACUAAAAGUACCAGAACUCUGGUGAAUUCUUUCAUAACUAAUGGGGAAUGGAAUGAAUGCAAGCUGAGAGAAACUCUCCCUGAUCAUUUGGUGCAUCGGAUCCUAAACAUUGAAAUAGGGAGGCAGAACACUGAAGACCAACUUUACUGGGACUUGAAAGAAACCGGUAAAUAUACAAACAAAUCUGCUUGGAAUAUGAUAAGGAGUUGCAAAGCCAAGGAGUAAAGUUUGACACUUCAGCAUCCCUUUCAAAAUAUCUUUUUUUGCCUGGAGAUUAUGGCAGAAUAAACUUCCUUUCAAUGAAGUCAUCAGUAAGUUUGGGAGGAACAUUACUACCACAUGUUUUUGUUGUUCCAAUCCUAAGAAUGACUCAAUCAAACAUGUCUUUGUGGAUGGAGAUGCGGCAAGGAAAAUAUGGAACUUUUUUGGUGGUCCUAUAGGUAUUUCGGGUCAAUUGGGUACCAUUAGGUCCAUACUGAAUUCCUGGUGGCAAUAAAUGCAGUUCAUAAAUUGGUUCUUCAGAUUGUCCCAAUCAUAGUAUACUGGCAUUUAGGGAAAUAAUGGUGUCCAUGCAAAUAUGGGGAUCAAAAGUUUUUUAACAUGUUCAGAUUGAACCAACAAAUAAGUUAGAUGAUUCAGGCAGCAGUAAAGAAGGCUUUCCCUAGCAAUACUUUAACAUUGCCUUGGAUCAAUUUUUGUGACACCUUACGCAAGCUUCAACCUAUUCCUAAGAGUAUUAUUAUUUGUUGGAACGCGCCAAAGUCAGGAAUGAUAAAAUUGAAUACUGAUGGUAGCUAUACUACAAGCAAUGGAAUAUCAAGACUGGGUGGAAUUUUAAGAGAUUACAAAGUAAAUCUAAUCAUGGCUUUCUCCCAACCAACUACCUGCAGCAGUAAUAUAAUCGCAGAGGCAGUUGCCGUAAAAUUUGGAGUGCAAUGGUGUAUUCUAAAUGGAUAUAAGAAUUUCUCUCUUGAAUUGGACUCUAUUGCAGUUGCACAGAUGAUCAUGGAUAAGCAGGCGAAUAUCUACAAGAUGGUCAAUUUGAUAUAUGAAAUCUCUCAAAUCCUAAGCCAAGGUAGUGUCAAUGUCAGUCAUUGCUUCAGAGAGGCGAACAGCUUAGUUAAACUUGCCUAGGACAGCCAACAAAGCUCUUUCUACUACUCUUUCGAAGAACUACAACGGGCAGCAAAGGGCCAUUUCUUAUUGGACAAAUUCCAGAUGCCAAGUUUAAGGCUAAGAUAUGACAAGGCUAAUUUUUUUGUAAGUUAGUAUUUUUAGAUUAUAGGGAUGCAAAAUAAGUCUCUGUUUUGGCCAUCCCUUUUUUUAAGGACAAAGAUAUUGUCCUUAUGUUGUAACUUAUGAGGUAAGGCCAAGCCCCCCUCUUGUUCCUGUCCUCGUGAAUACAACUUUGACUUGGAAAUUUUAUAUUUUAAAAAAAAUGUCACAGUAUUACUAGUGCUUUUACUCUGUAGAUUUGGUCUUCCUAUGAAUCAGGCCAUUGCUCUUGCUAUGGAUACCCUUUUAAACUUUA